RNAcentral lists this long non-coding RNA (1344 nucleotides) under Amborella trichopoda. RNAcentral's name for it is "long non-coding RNA (ATRI_LNC003395)". The record is from RNAcentral. Lineage: Eukaryota; Viridiplantae; Streptophyta; Magnoliopsida; Amborellales; Amborellaceae.
AAAGAAAAGAAAAGAAAAGAAAAGGAGAGUGUAGACGUCAGACUUUUAACGGCAUUGUCGAAAUGCCUUCAAAUAUUGAAUAUCCAAAAUUUGAAGUCGUUUCGAUUAAAUUUGAUUUUAGAUCACGAAAGUUCCCCAAUAUAAUAGAAAUUUAUUCAAAACAUUGAUCCCAUGUCAUUGUGAUUACCAACAUUUGAAAACCCAACUAUCCAGAUCAGUAAUCGGCCGAUACUGAAGUAACUAUGGGAAGGUAUCGAUACCAGCCAAGUCCCCUCCUAAAACCCCCUUAUUUCAUAGUUAUUUUUGUGAGCCAUCUAAUGUUUUCUUAGAUCCUAUUAAUUAUUUUAAUAUUUUAUUUUAAAAUAUUUUUUUGGACCACAGAUCGGGUGAUCCGGUUGUUUGACACAUAUUUUUUAGGUGGGCAAUGCACCUCACUAAUCCGGGUUUUGAAACACUCUUCGAGCCUUUUGAAGUGGGGGCAUUUUAGGGGAAAAAAAAGAAAAAAAAAGUUAUUGAUGUAAAAUAAAACCUCUCGAUUUUUUUCAUUACUUCAGAAAGUGAGCAAAAAUUUCUCUCAUCUUAGUAGCAUCUUUAGGAGAGUAUUUGUCAAGUUAGUCACGUGAAUACUAAUUUUUAAGGAUAAAAUGUUAUUUUAGGGGUUGAAAUCCCUUUAAUGAAAUCAUUAAUCGGGUCCAAUUCUUUCUAUUACCAUUUGAAGGAUUGCUUUUUCUUAUUUUUAGUGAUUCUUAAUAAUGAUCGCCUUGUUUGUAAUACAAAAUAACUAGGGGAUUUUUGUAAUUCGGUUGGGGCUUUUGAGGGUCAAAUUACUGCGACACUCCUUAUUAUUCCUUAUUUCUAAUACAAAACAAAGGCAAUUAGAGACUUCUAAAAUUUGUUUGGAGGAGGUACCAAAGUGAGGAAAAAAAAAAAGCAAUCCCCAAAUGUUAAUAUCGAUAAUCUGGCGCUAUCUUAAGGGGUUUUGACCUCUUAAAUGAUAUUUUCCCAUGUUUUAAAAAUAGUUGAGUCAGCUUCAAAGGUUUACUUGUAUGAGUAUGAGACCCCUUGAUUCCAAUUCAUAACAUUUAUUUGAUUUUUAAGUUUUUGUAGUAAAACAAUCUAAAACAACAAGUUGACCGGAUGAGAUGACUCAAAGCUAGGUUGGAAUCAAUUUUUUUUUUUUUUUGAGAAUCAAUUGGUGAUUGGUUUGACGUAUCGAUUCAAUUUUCAAGACAUCGACAACAAUUACCGAGCAAGAAUAAUGUUUUAAAACAUGGAUUGGUGGGGCAAUUGUUCACCUACAAAUUCAUGUCGAAUUGUUGAUUCGGUGAUCCAGAUCAAGUAUAG